RNAcentral lists this ribosomal RNA (630 nucleotides) under uncultured fungus. Its description in RNAcentral is "eukaryotic LSU rRNA". The stretch from base 98 to 251 matches the Rfam family "5.8S ribosomal RNA". The record is from RNAcentral. Lineage: Eukaryota; Fungi.
GUAGACUGGACUUUACUGUCUGGAAAGCCUUUCCUAUGUCUUCAUAACAAACGCUUCAGUUAAAGAAUGUAAUUUGUGGGAUAACACAUUUAUAUACAACUUUCAGCAACGGAUCUCUUGGCUCUCGCAUCGAUGAAGAACGCAGCGAAAUGCGAUAAGUAAUGUGAAUUGCAGAAUUCAGUGAAUCAUCGAAUCUUUGAACGCACCUUGCGCUCCUUGGUAUUCCGAGGAGCAUGCCUGUUUGAGUGUCAUGGAAUUCUCAACCCUCAAAUCUUUGUUGAUUUGGUGGGCUUGGACUUGGAGGUUAGUGUCGGCUUGUUACCAAGUCGACUCCUCUGAAAUAUAUUAGCGUGAAUCUUACGGAUCGCUCUUCGGUGUGAUAAUUGUCUACGCCGUGUUCGUGAAGUAUAUCAGUGUUCUUGCUUAUAAUCGUCCCUUGUGGACAACUUUAUGACAUCUGACCUCAAAUCAGGUAGGACUACCCGCUGAACUUAAGCAUAUCAAUAAGCGGAGGAAAAGAAACUAACAAGGAUUCCCCUAGUAACUGCGAGUGAAGCGGGAAAAGCUCAAAUUUAAAAUCUGGCGGUCUUUGGCCGUCCGAGUUGUAGUCUGGAGAAGCGUCUUCCGCGC